ACGGAGGGUGCAAGCGUUAAUCGGAAUUACUGGGCGUAAAGCGCACGCAGGAGGUGUGUUAAGUCAGAUGUGAAAUCCCCGGGCUCAACCUGGGAACUGCAUCUGAUACUGGCAAGCUUGAGUCUCGUAGAGGGGGGUAGAAUUCCAGGUGUAGCGGUGAAGUGCGUAGAGAUCUGGAGGAAAACCGGUGAGUGAGGCGGCCCCUGGACGAAGACUGACGCUCAGGUGCGAAAGAGUGGGGAGCAAACAG
This 250-nucleotide ribosomal RNA is filed under the name uncultured prokaryote. Its description in RNAcentral is "partial 16S rRNA". It matches the Rfam family "Bacterial small subunit ribosomal RNA", at positions 525 to 775 of the family's 1533-position model. The record is from RNAcentral.